Pteronotus mesoamericanus is the source of this 130-nucleotide small nucleolar RNA. The record is from RefSeq and is a predicted model, not a curated record. Lineage: Eukaryota; Metazoa; Chordata; Mammalia; Chiroptera; Mormoopidae.
AUGCAAACCUGAUCACUUACUGCAUAAUGUUGCCGAAGUGAGGGGAAUGAGGUUUACUGAAGUAAUUGUAGCGAUAGAAAUGUAUUAGUCUUAGGAGCUACUGAGGUGUUCAUUAUAGCCUACUAUGGAC